RNAcentral lists this ribosomal RNA (465 nucleotides) under Vreelandella stevensii. Its description in RNAcentral is "partial 16S ribosomal RNA". It matches the Rfam family "Bacterial small subunit ribosomal RNA", at positions 338 to 795 of the family's 1533-position model. The record is from RNAcentral. Lineage: Bacteria; Pseudomonadati; Pseudomonadota; Gammaproteobacteria; Oceanospirillales; Halomonadaceae.
CCUACGGGUGGCAGCAGUGGGGAAUAUUGGACAAUGGGGGCAACCCUGAUCCAGCCAUGCCGCGUGUGUGAAGAAGGCCCUCGGGUUGUAAAGCACUUUCAGUGAGGAAGAACGCCUGGUGGUUAAUACCCAUCAGGAAAGACAUCACUCACAGAAGAAGCACCGGCUAACUCCGUGCCAGCAGCCGCGGGAAUAUGGAGGGUGCGAGCGUUAAUCGGAAUUACUGGGCGUAAAGCGCGCGUAGGUGGCUUGAUAAGCCGGUUGUGAAAGCCCCGGGCUCAACCUGGGAACGGCAUCCGGAACUGUCAAGCUAGAGUGCAGGAGAGGAAGGUAGAAUUCCCGGUGUAGCGGUGAAAUGCGUAGAGAUCGGGAGGAAUACCAGUGGCGAAGGCGGCCUUCUGGACUGACACUGACACUGAGGUGCGAAAGCGUGGGUAGCAAACAGGAUUAGAUACCCGUGUAGUC